Molecule: non-coding RNA, 518 nt
Organism: Cinara cedri
Lineage: Eukaryota; Metazoa; Arthropoda; Insecta; Hemiptera; Aphididae
Source: the annotation of a GenBank genome assembly
UACUCCCCAUCCGGUAUUCUUGGGUUUUUAAUUUUCCGAAUCGUUCCUACGGCGUACGGCAAAAAACGCGGGGAAAUCGUUUUACGGGCGUGUAGCGACGGUUUAAACGCACCGAUUAUUUACAUUCAAUUUUUAUCUAUCGCCGUUGUCGUUGAAUUUUCGCAUCGAUAUUAUGCAAUUCGCCGCGGUGUGCUAACGGAAGUUCGAAACAUUUAAGGCGUCCCGGGUCAGUACGACGUUAUUCACAACCAAUUAUUACGACGGCAUUGUAAAUUGGUGGGAAUUUUUUUUUUAUUGUUUUUUUUUUCUUUCCCCUCCCCAUUAUCUUCGCCAUACAAACACAGAGGACGUAUCCCCUCCCUCCACUCCUCCUCCCGCCUACUCGGUUUUACUUCGGAAAAAGAAAAUUGUAAAAAUCCGCGAGGCGGACGACGUGAGGAGGAGGAAGAGGAGUAGGGGAGAGGGAAAUUCGCGUAAAACCUCCGGUCGAUAUAUUAUUAUGAGCGUUACGUAAUAGA